AUGAUUAUAUAUAUAAAAGAAUGGUUCGGUGGCUUUGAUGUGACAGCCACCGACCAUUCUCUUUAAGAUUAUAUAAAAUUUGCAUCGCAUCUACAAUUGGAUGUGUUUGUUCAGACCAUUGUCAAUAACGAAGAUAAAGUUUGUUUGUUUGUGUGAUUUUGAUGCAAUUAACCUAAAAGAAGUUUUGGUUGUGAAUCAAAUCAAGCAACGAAGGACAACCAAGUAUGUUGGUGGGAUAGAUUAUCUUUAAGAAAGGGAAACCAAUUGUCACCAUCGCCGGCUUCUACCAAAACAGUUCCAGAUGAACAAGGCCACGAUCUCCAUCGCAUCAACUAGUACGGAUCGAUUGCCUGUUUUAACGAUUUGAAGGUUCCUGUUGAUGGUGGUUCCUUAUAAUUAGCAUCAAGAUCUUGAUGUCAGAUUUGUAUUGGUCAAGAAUUUUGAUCCUUGCUCUAAUGAUUGUGCAUCCACCUAUUUGAGUAGAGCAAAAUUAAGUCAUGAAGCGGGCUGACCAAUCAUCAUCUUAAUGUAUAGUGGUACUGAAUAUAUGAAAGACAACCUAGCAACUAUACCCCCAAAAGACCAAGCAAUUCCUAAUGAAAACACACUUUGGGUGAUGAAGGUUGUAAGUUUCGUAGCUUUGAUACCUCAGGAGGUUUUGGCCACGCUAACUGUUGCAACCACUUUUACAUGGGUAAAUGGACAGUUGGGUAACGGGUCAAACAGGUUGGUGGUCAUCACACUCAGGUAGACAUUGCAGCCAAAGUCAAGGGGCCUAAAGAUGAAGUUCAAAUAUAUACCUGAAUGGACGCCAAAAAACGUGAGCUAAUGAUUCGGGAUAAAGAUUUGGCUCAUAUUGAAGAACAUACGAAGGCUUUUAAAGCCGAAGGAGGGGAUGUAAGCAUUUGGUGACCAAAAUGAAGAAGAAGAUUAAGCGGCCAAGUGAUAGUUAAUAGUACCAAGCCAAAGCAGAGACCAUGAAUUUUAGGAACUUGCAGCUUCUUUCUGGUAUGCUUCAGGUAAACGAGUAACGAAAUACUUGAGCAUCGCAACACGUGUUAGAAGUUCUCUUAGGAUUGCAGAAAGGCCAAGUUUUGUAUCUGCAUUUCGCUGAUCCAAUUGUGGGAAUAUGAGCCCCAAUGUGCUUGGGGCAUUCUGCACCGAUACUGGACUACCCUGUGACUUUAAUCAUAGUACUUGUGAUGGGAAGAAUGAGUUGUGUUAUGUUCGAGGACCAGGGUUCAUAUUCUUGAUUUCUAUACAUUCUAUAUAGGUGGUAAGAUCAUUGGGUUAGGUCUAAACGGUUCAACUUUUGUCGGUUGUCUCUGAUCGUCUUUACAAGUGCUUUUGUCGGUUGUCUCUGAUUGUCUUUACAAGUGCUUUGCUAUGUGUUAGGUAUAUUAUACAUCAAUAUAUGAUAGCUUUUGAUGAAACAUCCCACAUAUUUUGGU
Molecule: long non-coding RNA, 1451 nt
Filed under: Helianthus annuus (common sunflower)
Lineage: Eukaryota; Viridiplantae; Streptophyta; Magnoliopsida; Asterales; Asteraceae
Source: RNAcentral